RNAcentral lists this ribosomal RNA (467 nucleotides) under uncultured bacterium. Its description in RNAcentral is "bacterial SSU rRNA". It matches the Rfam family "Bacterial small subunit ribosomal RNA", at positions 28 to 492 of the family's 1533-position model. The record is from RNAcentral.
GACGAACGCUGGCGGCGUGCCUAACACAUGCAAGUCGAACGGAACUGUUUUGAAAGAUUUCUUCGGAAUGAAUUUGAUUUAGUUUAGUGGCGGACGGGUGAGUAACGCGUGAGUAACCUGCCUUCAAGAGGGGGAUAACAUUCUGAAAAGAAUGCUAAUACCGCAUGAUAUAUCGGAACCACAUGGUUUUGAUAUCAAAGAUUUUAUCGCUUGAAGAUGGACUCGCGUCCGAUUAGUUAGUUGGUGAGGUAACGGCUCACCAAGACCGCGAUCGGUAGCCGGACUGAGAGGUUGAACGGCCACAUUGGGACUGAGACACGGCCCAGACUCCUACGGGAGGCAGCAGUGGGGGAUAUUGCGCAAUGGGGGCAACCCUGACGCAGCAACGCCGCGUGAAGGAUGAAGGUUUUCGGAUUGUAAACUUCUUUUAUUAAGGACGAAAAAUGACGGUACUUAAUGAAUAAGCU